GCAUUGGUGGUUCAAUGGUAGAAUUCUUGCCUUCCACAGGGGAGACCUGGGUUCAAUUCCCAGACAAUGCA
RNAcentral lists this transfer RNA (71 nucleotides) under Loxodonta africana (African savanna elephant). It matches the Rfam family "tRNA". Rfam says of the family: Transfer RNA (tRNA) molecules are approximately 80 nucleotides in length. The record is from Rfam by way of RNAcentral. Lineage: Eukaryota; Metazoa; Chordata; Mammalia; Proboscidea; Elephantidae.